CCUACGGGUGGCAGCAGUGAGGAAUAUUGGUCAAUGGACGACAGUCUGAACCAGCCAAGUAGCGUGAAGGAUGACUGCCCUAUGGGUUGUAAACUUCUUUUAUAUGGGAAUAAAAUGUUCCACGUGUGGGUUUUUGUAUGUACCAUAUGAAUAAGGAUCGGCUAACUCCGUGCCAGCAGCCGCGGUAAUACGGAGGAUCCGAGCGUUAUCCGGAUUUAUUGGGUUUAAAGGGUGCGUAGGUGGAUUGUUAAGUCAGUUGUGAAAGUUUGAGGCUCAACCUUAAAAUUGCAGUUGAUACUGGCAGUCUUGAGAACAGUAGAGGUAGGCGGAAUUCGUGGUGUAGCGGGGAAAUGCUUAGAUAGCACGAAGAACUCCGAUUGCGAAGGCAGCUCACUGAACUGCAACUGACACUGAGGCUCGAAAGUGUGGGUAUCAAACAGGAUUAGAUACCCGAGUAGUC
Molecule: ribosomal RNA, 460 nt
Filed under: uncultured bacterium
Lineage: Bacteria
Description: partial 16S ribosomal RNA
Rfam family: Bacterial small subunit ribosomal RNA
Source: RNAcentral